Molecule: small nucleolar RNA, 102 nt
Filed under: Monopterus albus (swamp eel)
Lineage: Eukaryota; Metazoa; Chordata; Actinopteri; Synbranchiformes; Synbranchidae
Source: RNAcentral
CUCCAAUGAUGAUUCAGCCAUGCUAAUACUGAUGCAUCAGACAGAUGCAUGCCAUCUGGCUGGGUGUGUGUGAGUUCAACUCAACUUCUCAUGCUGAUGGGA